CCUACGGGUGGCAGCAGUGGGGAAUAUUGGGCAAUGGGCGCAAGCCUGACCCAGCAACGCCGCGUGAAGGAAGAAGGCUCUCGGGUUGUAAACUUCUUUUAUCAGGGACGAAGCAAGUGACGGUACCUGAUGAAUAAGCCACGGCUAACUACGUGCCAGCAGCCGCGGUAAUACGUAGGUGGCAAGCUUUAUCCGGAUUUACUGUGUGUAAAGGGCGUGUAGGCGGGAAAGCAAGUCAGAUGUGAAAACCAUGUGCUCAACCUGUGGCCUGCAUUUGAAACUGUUUUUCGUGAGUACUGGAGAGGCAGACGGAAUUCCGAGUGUAGCGGUGAAAUGCGUAGAUAUUAGGAGGAACACCAGUGGCGAAGGCGGUCUGCUGGACAGCAACUGACGCUGAGGCGCGAAAGCGUGGGGAGCAAACAGGAUUAGAUACCCCAGUAGUC
RNAcentral lists this ribosomal RNA (443 nucleotides) under uncultured bacterium. RNAcentral's name for it is "partial 16S ribosomal RNA". It matches the Rfam family "Bacterial small subunit ribosomal RNA", at positions 338 to 795 of the family's 1533-position model. The record is from RNAcentral.